GUCCGUGAGUUCAUUCUUCAGUUCCCCGGAGACCAAGAGUUCCAGAACUCAUCGGAACAGCUGCAACAUUUUGGCACCCAGCAUGAGGCUUCCUGACACAGUGGACUGCGAGCAACUUCCACCCCAAACACAGACCACCUAAGAGAAAGCAGUCCUGCACCUGAUGACAGCUCUGGGAGACUCUGGGUUGAAGAGGAGACCUGCAAACAUUAGAGCAUCACCGAUAGAAAACACUUAUAAAUCAUUUUUCCUUGGAGUCA
Molecule: long non-coding RNA, 260 nt
Organism: Echinops telfairi (small Madagascar hedgehog)
Lineage: Eukaryota; Metazoa; Chordata; Mammalia; Afrosoricida; Tenrecidae
Exons: 3
Source: RefSeq, a predicted model, not a curated record